AUGGGAAUCGAACCCACAGUAUUCCGCUUACCGGGCAGAUGCCAUGUCCACUAGGCU
This 57-nucleotide transfer RNA is filed under the name Cordylochernes scorpioides. Its description in RNAcentral is "tRNA-Thr". The record is from RNAcentral. Lineage: Eukaryota; Metazoa; Arthropoda; Arachnida; Pseudoscorpiones; Chernetidae.